Molecule: ribosomal RNA, 1120 nt
Filed under: Enterobacter asburiae
Lineage: Bacteria; Pseudomonadati; Pseudomonadota; Gammaproteobacteria; Enterobacterales; Enterobacteriaceae
Description: bacterial SSU rRNA
Rfam family: Bacterial small subunit ribosomal RNA
Source: RNAcentral
AGCUAGUAGGUGGGGUAACGGCUCACCUAGGCGACGAUCCCUAGCUGGUCUGAGAGGAUGACCAGCCACACUGGAACUGAGACACGGUCCAGACUCCUACGGGAGGCAGCAGUGGGGAAUAUUGCACAAUAGGGCGCAAGCCUGAUGCAGCCAUGCCGCGUGUAUGAAGAAGGCCUUCGGGUUGUAAAGUACUUUCAGCGGAGAUGAAGGUGUUGAGGUUAAUAACCUCAGCAAUUGACGUUACCCGCAGAAGAAGCACCGGCUAACUCCGUGCCAGCAGCCGCGGUAAUACGGAGGGUGCCAAGCGUUAAUCGGAAUUACUGGGCGUAAAGCGCACGCAGGCGGUCUGUCAAGUCGGAUGUGAAAUCCCCGGGCUCAACCUGGGAACUGCAUUCGAAACUGGCAGGCUAGAGUCUUGUAGAGGGGGGUAGAAUUCCAGGUGUAGCGGUGAAAUGCGUAGAGAUCUGGAGGAAUACCGGUGGCGAAGGCGGCCCCCUGGACAAAGACUGACGCUCAGGUGCGAAAGCGUGGGGAGCAAACAGGAUUAGAUACCCUGGUAGUCCACGCCGUAAACGAUGUCGACUUGGAGGUUGUGCCCUUGAGGCGUGGCUUCCGGAGCUAACGCGUUAAGUCGACCGCCUGGGGAGUACGGCCGCAAGGUUAAAACUCAAAUGAAUUGACGGGGGCCCGCACAAGCGGUGGAGCAUGUGGUUUAAUUCGAUGCAACGCGAAGACCUUUACCUACUCUUGACAUCCAGAGAACAUUCCAGAGAUGGGAUUGGUGCCUUCCUGAACUCUGAGACAGGUGCUGCAUGGCUGUCGUCAGCUCGUGUUGUGAAAUGUUGGGUUAAGUCCCGCACCGAGCGCAAUCCUAAUCCUUUGUUGCCAGCGAUCCUUCCGGGAACUCAAAGAAGACUGCCAGUGAUAAACUGGAGGAAGGUGGGGAUGACGUCAAGUCAUCAUGGCCCUUACGAGUAGGGCUACACACGUGCUACAAUGGCGCAUACAAAGAGAAGCGACCUCGCGAGAGCAAGCGGACCUCAUAAAGUGCGUCGUAGUCCGGAUUGGAGUCUGCAACUCGACUCCAUGAAGUCGGAAUCGCUAGUAAUCGUAGAUCAGA